AGAUUGAACGCUGGCGGCAGGCCUAACACAUGCAAGUCGAGCGGUAGAGAGGUGCUUGCACCUCUUGAGAGCGGCGGACGGGUGAGUAAUGCCUAGGAAUCUGCCUAGUGGUGGGGGAUAACGUUCGGAAACGGACGCUAAUACCGCAUACGUCCUACGGGAGAAAGCGGGGGACCUUCGGGCCUCGCGCCAUUAGAUGAGCCUAGGUCGGAUUAGCUAGUUGGUGAGGUAAUGGCUCACCAAGGCGACGAUCCGUAACUGGUCUGAGAGGAUGAUCAGUCACACUGGAACUGGGACACGGUCCACGACUCCUACGGGAGGCGAGCGAGUGGGAAGUAUUAGGUACAAGU
RNAcentral lists this ribosomal RNA (350 nucleotides) under uncultured soil bacterium. Its description in RNAcentral is "bacterial SSU rRNA". It matches the Rfam family "Bacterial small subunit ribosomal RNA", at positions 26 to 375 of the family's 1533-position model. The record is from RNAcentral.